This is a non-coding RNA of Pimephales promelas (fathead minnow), 711 nucleotides long. The record is from RefSeq and is a predicted model, not a curated record. NCBI's taxonomy places the organism in Eukaryota, Metazoa, Chordata, Actinopteri, Cypriniformes, Leuciscidae.
GGCGAUGCACACUCACUGGUGGGCACAUCAUUCCUGCUGUCUGUUCCUAAACAGGUUCAAUGCUGUAAAUAAGAGAUGGUGUUUGCAACACAAGGAGGACGCCAGCUCUUUCAACUCACCUUCUUCCUGACUCGACUCCCAUCAUGCUUCACUCUAAUUCCAUCUCCCUGGAAUAAGAUAGAUAAAAGACUAGCAGAUGUAACCCUGAAGUCAAAGGUGGAGAGAAAAGAAAGGGUCUUGGAUAAAAAGCAGAGCAUCUCUUCCCAUCCCACCCUCACUGCGCUCAAUUCUGCAGCUUUCCAUUGAUCCCCUGCCUAGAAACUGAUCCCCAGGCCGGCGGGGUGCUUGCGGCUUAUAGAUCGCCUUCAGAAAUAGCCUCAUCGGAGGGCAGGAGGACGGGACAAAGGGUCCGGCAACCAGAGAAUCCUCCCUCCCCAGGGCAGGACACCGAUAGCACCCCGUGUGUAUUUAUAGAUGACCAACAGCGAACCUGAAGCUGGAUCAAUACGCUCUGGGAUGGGACAUGACCUGCCCGACAGCCCGGCUGAGAGGAUACAGGCCCCGGGACGCAGAAAAGGGAGAAGCCUCCGUACCUGUGAGAAAUCUGAAAGAUGUAGAAAAACCACAAGAUCAAACCCUGUAUCUUUUUGUUUUCUUCUACACAUCCUCAAAAUGAGAAGCUAAAUUGUCUUAUUCACUCUAAAAAAAAAA